RNAcentral lists this ribosomal RNA (207 nucleotides) under uncultured delta proteobacterium. RNAcentral's name for it is "partial 16S ribosomal RNA". It matches the Rfam family "Bacterial small subunit ribosomal RNA", at positions 568 to 774 of the family's 1533-position model. The record is from RNAcentral. Lineage: Bacteria; Deltaproteobacteria.
CGUGUAGGCGGUCUCGCAAGUCGGAUGUGAAAGCCCUCGGCUUAACCGAGGAAGUGCGUUCGAAACUACGAGACUUGAGUACCGGAGAGGGUGGCGGAAUUCCCGGUGUAGAGGUGAAAUUCGUAGAUAUCGGGAGGAACACCAGUGGCGAAGGCGGCCACCUGGACGGUCACUGACGCUGAGACGCGAAAGCGUGGGGAGCAAACA